UACGGAGGGGGCAAGCGUUAUUCGGAAUUAUUGGGCGUAAAGGGCGCGUAGGCGGCUAGAUGUGUCAAAGGUGAAAUCCCUCGGCUCAACCGAGGAAGUGCAGUCGAAACUAACAAGCUAGAAGAAGGUAGAGAAAGGUGGAAUUCCAAGUGUAGAGGUGAAAUUCGUAGAUAUUUGGAGGAAUACCGGUGGCGAAGGCGGCCUUUUGGGCCUUUCUUGACGCUGAGACGCGAAAGCGUGGGUAGCAAACAGG
Molecule: ribosomal RNA, 253 nt
Filed under: uncultured bacterium
Lineage: Bacteria
Description: partial 16S ribosomal RNA
Rfam family: Bacterial small subunit ribosomal RNA
Source: RNAcentral